UGAAUUAUUAACCAGUGGGGGACUAUAAAAUGUAUGUAUUGCCAUGCAAUAUGCACAUAAUAGAUAUAGAAAGAUGUGAUAUGAGUGCCAAUGAGACAUCUCUCCAUCAAGUAAUAUAUUAUUAAAGUAAACCAUUAUAGGUCAAGGUACAGCCUUUAACACAGAGCUUUGGCUCUCAUUGAACAUCAAGCUGAAAGGGCCCCAAAAAUUACUAGUGUACAUGGUGUAAAACAUUACAAACAGGAAAACCAAUGGUCUAAUUUGUGUAAAAACAAAAAAAUGAGAAACACAUAAAAACCACAUACACAGACCUCAACCACUGAACCUCAGAUUGUUUUAUUAUAAAAAAAAAUCUUAAGAAAAAAG
RNAcentral lists this long non-coding RNA (366 nucleotides) under Mytilus galloprovincialis (Mediterranean mussel). Lineage: Eukaryota; Metazoa; Mollusca; Bivalvia; Mytilida; Mytilidae. The record is from RNAcentral.